UUGCUCUUCCAAAGUUAGUGGCGGACGGGUGAGUAACACGUGGGCAACCUGCCUGUAAGUUGGGGAUAACUCCGGGAAACCGGGGCUAAUACCGAAUGAUAGAAUGUGGCGCAUGCCACGCUUUUGAAAGAUGGUUUCGGCUAUCGCUUACAGAUGGGCCCGCGGUGCAUUAGCUAGUUGGUAGGGUAAUGGCCUACCAAGGCAACGAUGCAUAGCCGACCUGAGAGGGUGAUCGGCCACACUGGGACUGAGACACGGCCCAGACUCCUACGGGAGGCAGCAGUAGGGAAUCUUCCGCAAUGGACGAAAGUCUGACGGAGCAACGCCGCGUGUAUGAAGAAGGUUUUCGGAUCGUAAAGUACUGUUGUUAGAGAAGAACAAGGAUAAGAGUAACUGCUUGUCCCUUGACGGUAUCUAACCAGAAAGCCACGGCUAACUACGUGCCAGCAGCCGCGGUAAUACGUAGGUGGCAAGCGUUGUCCGGAUUUAUUGGGCGUAAAGCGCGCGCAGGCGGUCUUUUAAGUCUGAUGUGAAAGCCCCCGGCUUAACCGGGGAGGGUCAUUGGAAACUGGAAGACUGGAGUGCAGAAGAGGAGAGUGGAAUUCCACGUGUAGCGGUGAAAUGCGUAGAUAUGUGGAGGAACACCAGUGGCGAAGGCGACUCUCUGGUCUGUAACUGACGCUGAGGCGCGAAAGCGUGGGGAGCAAACAGGAUU
RNAcentral lists this ribosomal RNA (715 nucleotides) under Listeria monocytogenes. RNAcentral describes it as "bacterial SSU rRNA". It matches the Rfam family "Bacterial small subunit ribosomal RNA", at positions 75 to 779 of the family's 1533-position model. The record is from RNAcentral. Lineage: Bacteria; Bacillati; Bacillota; Bacilli; Caryophanales; Listeriaceae.